AGACUGCAGAUAAUUGUUUCUAAAUUCAGUUCUCCAGAAGGCAUUUAUAGAAAGAGCUUUGAGGAAAAUGUGAUUGUGUUCCUUUUAUUUCUCUCUAUUUUAGCCUUAUUAAAAGGAGAAACUAUGCAUCUGAAAAGAAAAACGUGAAGAGGAGACCCCGAUGCCAUUACUUUGGAGCGCUGAGAGGGUACAAGAAGACGAUGUUAAAGUAGAAUUUCUGUGAAGCUGCUUACAAUUGAAGGAAAACCUCUUUCUCCUGACCUCCUGUGAUUUGAACACGGUGUACAUCGCCUGAGUCUCACUGUUUCAGACAGGAUAAAGAGCCUGUCCCCUGAAUGAAGAUAGAUACAUGAAAAUAGAAAGACUGAUGAAGAUACACAGACGAAGAUAGAUGCCUUUACGGUUCUCAGACAGUACCAUGUUCAAGCACUACUGUGAUAGUCAAACUACAAAGCCUAUUCAAAUUAGAUAACUAUAUUUUUUUCAAUUACAUUGCUAAGAAAAGAGAGUUUAGAAGAAAUAGCUGAGCUUGGUAAGAUUAAGAAAAGGCUUUAUUAAUGACAGACUAUGCUACUGUAAACUUUAGGGUGAUUCUUGGACUCACUCUCGGUAUUGUUUAAAGGGGGUACUUAGGAUUUCCAAUGCUCUUCAACAGCAUUAGCAGUCACAAAGUUUAGUUUCAGUGACAGUGGUUGAAACACUUGAUCCACAAGGAUCUAGUGCUUCUUUUCAGGAGACUAUUUCAGUGGCCACCAUUUGUUAUUUGCCCAGUUUUGCAGCUUCAUCUGUUUGCUUCACAGUUACUGUGGAUUUCCGAUAUGAAGUUGGUAUAUGUCUAUUGCAUUGAGACUAUUUUAUUUAGUUUAGUUUAGUUUAGUUUAGUUUUUCUGAAGCGUACUCUUCUCGAAGUCAGUAAUGGCUUAGGAAGAAAAUGCAGGACAUAACUGUAGAUUGGAAAAGCAAAAUAACAUCUCCUUUGUCCAUUAAAUUCCUAAUUAAG
Long non-coding RNA from Gallus gallus (chicken), 1000 nucleotides. Lineage: Eukaryota; Metazoa; Chordata; Aves; Galliformes; Phasianidae. The record is from Ensembl.